Fundulus heteroclitus (mummichog) is the source of this 718-nucleotide long non-coding RNA. RefSeq lists it as uncharacterized. The transcript is spliced from 2 exons. The record is from RefSeq and is a predicted model, not a curated record. NCBI's taxonomy places the organism in Eukaryota, Metazoa, Chordata, Actinopteri, Cyprinodontiformes, Fundulidae.
UUUCUGAUUUCAGGCUAACUGUACAAUUUGUCGGUCUUUUGUAUUGCCAGACUGUGUUUGAUCAACAAAGUCCCACAAAACAGCCGCAGCAGGCUGCCACGCGCGCAUCAACUCAUUCACAGGUUUCCCCACUCGCCGAGGCUUUAUUGAAGGACAAUUAAGGCACCUGCGUUUCUAAAGCUCCCCCGCUGAAUGCCUGCCAUCCCGUUUCCUCACCCGUCUGUUCAUGUGGACCUUUGCUGCACGGCCUCUCGCUUCCUUAGCUUCCUCCGUAGCUCACCCGUGUACAGUUCUGCUGGCAAGGCCCAAUCGCUUGCCAUCACCCAGUCAUUGAUGUGGACACAAGAUCAUUUCUUGUUCGGCUUUUUAAAGGAUGCUUCCCCGAGAGAGGGUGAACGGAUGUCGCAUGCUUUGGAGUCUUGCUGGUUUCGUUGAAGUGAUUUUUAAGUCUUGAAUUACUGGGUAUUGGACAAGACAUGAUAUUAAGGAAUUAUUUAAAGGAAAAACAGCUUGGAUGAUUGCAAACCCUGCAGAUUCUCUGGCCCAAGUGGCCGAUGUAAGGCCAAGAAAGGAAUCAGACUGCAAGGAGGGGGUGUCUAAGAUCGAGAUGAAACACUAAAUCUGCAGGAAAAGAUACUCAAAACAAGUGAAAUUAUCUGUUCAUGCACCUAGAUAAUGUCACUUCGCAAGUCUUCUUGAUUUAGGAUUACAGUGUCAA